RNAcentral lists this ribosomal RNA (824 nucleotides) under uncultured Acidobacteriota bacterium. RNAcentral describes it as "bacterial SSU rRNA". It matches the Rfam family "Bacterial small subunit ribosomal RNA", at positions 8 to 844 of the family's 1533-position model. The record is from RNAcentral. Lineage: Bacteria; Pseudomonadati; Acidobacteriota.
AGGGUUUGAUCAUGGCUCAGAAUCAACGCUGGCGGCGUGCCUCAGACAUGCAAGUCGAACGAUUAAAGCUCCCUUCGGGGAGUGCAUAAAGUGGCGCACGGGUGAGUAACACGUAAGUAAUCUACCCUCGAGUGGGGAAUAACAACCGGAAACGGUUGCUAAUACCGCAUAAUGCAGCGGCACCGCAAGGUGACAGUUGUUAAAGAUUUAUUGCUUGAGGAGGAGCUUGCGGCAGAUUAGCUUGUUGGUAAGGUAACGGCUUACCAAGGCUACGAUCUGUAUCCGGUCUAAGAGGACGGUCGGACACACUGACACUGAAUAACGGGUCAGACUCCUACGGGAGGCAGCAGUCGGGAAUUUUGGGCAAUGGGGGAAACCCUGACCCAGCAACGCCGCGUGAAGGAUGAAGUAUUUCGGUAUGUAAACUUCGAAAGAAUAGGAAGAAUUAAUGACGGUACUAUUUAUAAGGUCCGGCUAACUACGUGCCAGCAGCCGCGGUAAUACGUAGGGACCAAGCGUUGUUCGGAUUUACUGGGCGUAAAGGGCGCGUAGGCGGCGCGGUAAGUCACUUGUGAAAUCUCUGAGCUUAACUCAGAACGGCCAAGUGAUACUGCAGUGCUAGAGUGUGGAAGGGGCAAUCGGAAUUCUUGGUGUAGCGGUGAAAUGCGUAGAUAUCAAGAGGAACACCUGAGGUGAAGACGGGCUGCUGGGCCAACACUGACGCUGAGGCGCGAAAGCCAGGGGAGCAAACGGGAUUAGAUACCCCGGUAGUCCUGGCCCCUAAACGAUGAAUACUUGGUGUCUGGAGUUUUAAUGCUCCGGGU